CAGGGAUGCGCUGAACCUGGAGCCCCGGGUGGAAGGGGUAGCAAAGCCCCGCGGCCGGGGUCUCGGCUCCAGCGUCCCGCCCCGGACCAUCGGGAUGACUUGGGGAGUCUCCAAGGGCCCUUUUAACGGCCCCCAAAGGGAGGCGACAGGAAGAUUGUAACUCAUCAUACACGAAUUGCCUGCCUCUUCCAUCAGACAGUGAACUGCUUGAGGAUCAGAAAUCUAUUUUCAUCUAUCAAGGGUUUCCUCUGUGUUUGUGUGCAGCGGGUGGAGGAUGGCUUCCUAAUUGGGACCUGUCUCAGGUGGAAUAAGAAGAAUCAAGACAAGAGGGUUGGUCCAUGUUUGCCCAACUUCCCAUCAUCCUCCUUCCAGCUAAUCAAAAGAUAUUGAGCACCUAUUAUGUAGAAAACACUGGCCCAGGAUCUGGAGAUGAAAGAGGUUAAACACACAGAAUCUGGGCUUCCCUGGUUGCACAGUGGUUAAGAACCCACCUGCCAGUGCAGGGGACCCAGGUUCGAGCCCUGGUCUGGGAAGGUCCC
Aethalodelphis obliquidens (Pacific white-sided dolphin) is the source of this 539-nucleotide long non-coding RNA. RefSeq lists it as uncharacterized. The record is from RefSeq and is a predicted model, not a curated record. NCBI's taxonomy places the organism in Eukaryota, Metazoa, Chordata, Mammalia, Artiodactyla, Delphinidae. The transcript has 4 exons.